Oncorhynchus keta (chum salmon) is the source of this 662-nucleotide long non-coding RNA. RefSeq lists it as uncharacterized. Lineage: Eukaryota; Metazoa; Chordata; Actinopteri; Salmoniformes; Salmonidae. The transcript has 3 exons. The record is from RefSeq and is a predicted model, not a curated record.
CGAGGACCAGGAGGAUGGCUUUAUGACAUCAGAUCACAACAGUACAGUGUUCCUACCCGAGGACCAGGAGGAUGGCUUUAUGACAUCAGAUCACAACAGUACAGUGUUCCUACCCGAGGGCCAGGAGGAUGGCUUUAUGACAUCAGAUCACAACAGUACAGUGUUCCUACCCGAGGGCCAGGAGGAUGGCUUUAUGACAUCAGAUCACAACAGUACAGUGUUCCUACCCGAGGGCCAGGAGGAUGGCUUUAUGACAUCAGGUCACAACAGUACAGUGUUCCUACCCGAGGGCCAGGAGGAUGGCUUUAUGACAUCAGAUCACAACAGUACAGUGUUCCUACCCGAGGACCAGGAGGAUGGCUUUAUGACAUCAGAUCACAACAGUACAGUGUUCCUACCCGAGGGCCAGGAGGAUGGCUUUAUGACAUCAGGUCACAACAGUACAGUGUUCCUACCCGAGGGCCAGGAGGAUGGCUUUAUGACAUCAGAUCACAACAGUACAGUGUUCCUACCCGAGGGCCAGGAGGAUGGCUUUAUGACAUCAGAUCACAACAGUACAGUGUUCCUACCCGAGGGCCAGGAGGAUGGCUUUAUGACAUCAGAUCACAACAGUACAGUGUUCCUACCCGAGGGCCAGGAAAGCCACGGAUUCCAGUUUCUCC